Long non-coding RNA from Episyrphus balteatus (marmalade hoverfly), 799 nucleotides. RefSeq lists it as uncharacterized. Lineage: Eukaryota; Metazoa; Arthropoda; Insecta; Diptera; Syrphidae. The transcript has 3 exons. The record is from RefSeq and is a predicted model, not a curated record.
UCAGUUAUAUUUUGAAAUGAAAGAAAAAAAUAAAAAAUAAUAUUCAUUCACAAUGCUUGAUUCAUUUCGUACUCUAAGGUUUUAGGGAAACCGUCGGUCGGUUGGCCGGCCGGCGUGGCUAUGGUGUAACUGAUUUAUGCCCUUCAUAACGAUCGACCAGAAAAGUCAAUCAAUCAAGCCAUCGAACAAGUUCAUUGACAGCUCAGUUGGGCUAAACAAAUACUUAAAAUGUUUCCCUGUGUAUCUUAACAUACAAAGCUACGAUGGGGAUAUAAUCGUUUGGAUGUAAAGCAAAUCGAUCGAACAUUAUACAAUAUGAGAACGCCAAGCUCUGAAAAUUAAAUCCCGCAUUGCACUUGGUUAGAACUCCAUAUGUGGAUGAACGAUCUUAAGUUACAUUGGCUUCGUGUGCACGGAAAAAAAUUAAUUUUGACAUUUAAGAUCUUCCAUUUAUUACCGCUAUUUUGAAUAAUAUAUAUUACUGAUUUUUAUUCUGAAUUACCUAUUAUAGUUCACAUCUAGGCUCUGUAUAAAUGACAUAUAUUUUCAAUCAAAUAAUUUUAAAAUGAAGUUGAUAAGCAGUCUCUUAGGAAACAAAAGAGCUGAUUAGCGAACGUGAAAAAAAUUAUUUAUAUCAAUACUGUAUGAGAUAGUUAUUUUGAUUAACACAGAAUGAAAAACCUUUUUAUUCUAGAAUUAUUUCCAAAAAUGUAGCAACGAUGAUCUCAAAGGCCUUUAAUUUAAAAUUCUUUAUAAUUUUAUUAUACCACUGAAUAAAAUUCAUUGAAAUCCUUCUCAA